CAAUGUGAUAAAUAAUACUGAAUAGAACCAAACUUGCAUGUAUACCAACCAUGUAAUGUCCGAAUAAAGCAACCGUUUGUUCACAACGUUUGGCACCUC
Amblyraja radiata (thorny skate) is the source of this 99-nucleotide long non-coding RNA. RefSeq lists it as uncharacterized. The record is from RefSeq and is a predicted model, not a curated record. NCBI's taxonomy places the organism in Eukaryota, Metazoa, Chordata, Chondrichthyes, Rajiformes, Rajidae. The transcript is spliced from 4 exons.